UUGCGCAAGAUCCACUGCAAAAAUGGGUGCCAGAGGCAGUAGAAGACGGAUCGUGACAAACAAGAAUGGUGUAAUUAGCAACGUCAUCUGUUGUGUCUAUGUGGCAGAUUGUCCAGUGACAACCAGGCGUGCGAUCAGUUCCAAAAUAUGUGUCACCUGUAUGAGAAAGACCAACAUUGAUGGAGAAUAAAACUUUGCUCGGUAAAUUAUCACGGCAACGAAAUCUCCGAAAUUGCUUUGGGUCUGUCUUUAAAACACCAUUCAAGAAUAUACAUUGCCCCUCGGGUGGUAUUGAAUUCAAUGUGAAGGGGUCUGUGUCAUCGUCUGGUGAAACUACUCCGUUAACCGUUGUUGCUGUUCUCAUUUUUUUCACUUUGGGAAGAUAAUACUCGAAAGCAUCGCCUCUUGUUAAGCCGCUGAUGUUUGCGCUUACCAGACGUCUAGAAUUGUGUCUUAAAGAACGUACCUGCAGAGCAUUAAAAUCCUAAGAGCCUAUUCAUAAUAGGCACCCUUGAUAGGAGUUUUUAAAUUUAACUUGUGUUCUGUAAAUUACAAUAAAAUUCUUUGUAAAGACGUUUUUCCGUGUGUUGGUUACUAUAUUAAUCUGGGUCACUUUUCCUUUUUUGAAAAAUUGAAAUACGGAUAGUAAAC
Dendronephthya gigantea is the source of this 651-nucleotide long non-coding RNA. RefSeq lists it as uncharacterized. The transcript has 3 exons. NCBI's taxonomy places the organism in Eukaryota, Metazoa, Cnidaria, Anthozoa, Malacalcyonacea, Nephtheidae. The record is from RefSeq and is a predicted model, not a curated record.